AUUGAACGCUGGCGGCAGGCCUAACACAUGCAAGUCGAGCGCGCGGCGGACGGGUGAGUAAUGUAUGGGGACUGCCCGAUAGAGGGGGAUAACUACUGGAAACGGUGGCUAAUACCGCAUAUUGUAGGAUAACCCAUAUGGGAUUAGCGAGUAGGUAAGGUAAUGGAUUACCUAGGCGACGAUCCCUAGCUGGUCUGAGAGGAUGAUCAGGCACACUGGGACUGAGAAAAGGACCAGACUCCGACGGAGGCAGCAGUGGGGAAUAUUGCACAAUGGGCGCAAGCCUGAUGCAGCCAUGCCGCGUGUAUGAAGAAGGCCCUAGGGUUGUAAAGUACUUUCAGUCGGGAGGCGUUACCGGCAGAAGAAGCACCGGCUAACUCCGUGCCAGCAGCCGCGGUAAUUC
RNAcentral lists this ribosomal RNA (403 nucleotides) under uncultured bacterium. RNAcentral's name for it is "partial 16S ribosomal RNA". It matches the Rfam family "Bacterial small subunit ribosomal RNA", at positions 30 to 526 of the family's 1533-position model. The record is from RNAcentral.